UCGUCCUGAAAACGAAACGGAA
Molecule: microRNA, 22 nt
Filed under: Caenorhabditis elegans
Lineage: Eukaryota; Metazoa; Nematoda; Chromadorea; Rhabditida; Rhabditidae
Description: cel-miR-59-5p
Gene: cel-miR-59-5p
Source: miRBase by way of RNAcentral